RNAcentral lists this long non-coding RNA (1421 nucleotides) under Prunus dulcis (almond). RNAcentral describes it as "sRNA ncRNA". The record is from RNAcentral. Lineage: Eukaryota; Viridiplantae; Streptophyta; Magnoliopsida; Rosales; Rosaceae.
CUUGAAUUUAAAUCACAAAAAAUAUAAAUCAAACAAGAAUUGAAAUGACAAGAAAAAUAUAAACUUACACUAGAAAAGGAAGAACUCACUACACUAGGUGCUUGAAAAGUAAAAUCCUAAGUCUAGGAAAAGAAAAGUGCAAGACGAAAAGUAGGUUUGUCUGUCUGAUGUUGUGUGUCUUCUGUCUUCGCUUGGUGAGGUUUAUAUAGGGCAUUCGCCAGCCCAUGGGUUGGCCAUUGAAUGGCCAAAUGUCAACUCUUUUAAAAAUCUUUCCUUGUGAAGCCCCCCUAAAUCCGUGGGAUUGCAUUGAUUGAAAUAUUCUGACAUGCUUGAUUCUUCCUUGCUUUGGAACAUUCAGAGUCAUUAUCGUCCUCCUUGAUUUCUUUCCUUGUGAGGCCUCUGUCACGUGCAUAUAAUCCUCCAAAAAUUCUGAGCUUGGAUCGGUGUCUUGAACUUGGACUUCCGAUUCCUCUUAUAUUGCCACCCAUAUAAUAUAUAUUAAAUUUCAAAUAUAUAUAUAUGUAAGCAUAAAAUAGGAUGAGGAAGGCUUAAACUUGGGAGCCUGGCCGCACAUGCACAUUCAUUUAUUUGUCUUUCAAACCCCCAAAGACUCCAGCCACAACUUGCAUUCAUUCAUAUAUAUAUAUAUAUAUAUAUAUAUAUAUAUAUAUAUAUAUAUAUAUAUAUAUGUAAUAAGACAAUUGGACUCCAACCCAAAAACCUGCAACCCAAUUUGCAAAGAGAUCAAAUACUCCAGCCGCAAGAAACCCUUCACAUCUCUAGCAUGAAACAAAACCCCGACUGCAACUAUUUUCAAACCAAAGAUCUCGAUCGUAGCUAUCAUUCGAAAACCCGGACGCAUCUCUUGAGAAUUGGCCGUAUCCUAUUUGAGCACCUCCCGCCGCAUUCGAGCAUAGCCCAGCCUUCCUCUCCAUCCGCACUUCGAAUGUAGUCCCACCAUUUUCUCCAGCUCACCCGGCCGCUAUAUCCCAACAAAUCCCGCCGCUCUAGACGCCAAAAAGCCGAAGGGCCCGGUCGUAGAAAUCCUUGUAGCCCCUCACGCCUCUGGUGGCGAAAAAACUGGGCACUAGCCUCGAAAUUUCGGCCACACUACUUGGGCUCCAUCCGUCAAACUCCGGCCGCAUUUCACAUCUUAGCUCUUCCGGCCGUGCCCUGGGACUCAACCCCCAAUAGUGACUUCACCAACUCCAAAUCCGGCCGCACUCUUUCAUUUCCUAGCCCGACCAAUUUCUCCAAGUUUCGACUGCCUUAUUGCAAGACCCCAGCCCAGCCGUGAUCAAUCCUCAAAGCUCGGCAGCAAUUCCAAGGUGCCCGGGUGAAUUUUCCCACCUCCAAACAGAAACACAAGUUAAAUAUGGUUUAAUUUGCUUGAAUUUUGUAUAGAGAUUGUUUUGUUAUCG